Long non-coding RNA from Prunus mume (Japanese apricot), 360 nucleotides. RefSeq lists it as uncharacterized. The record is from RefSeq and is a predicted model, not a curated record. NCBI's taxonomy places the organism in Eukaryota, Viridiplantae, Streptophyta, Magnoliopsida, Rosales, Rosaceae.
UUCAUGAUCAAUCUACUUUCCUCUUCAAGUCGCAGAGUGUUCGAACAAAGUCGUAGAUUUCUGGGUCCGUGAUAGAUACAGCCAUGAGGAAAUCGGUGAAUCGUCCGCCGACGCCGGAUGUUAUGGAGAAUCAAGGAAAAGAGCCCACUCUUCAAGAGCUUAUAAACAUCGAGUUGAUUGAGAGAGAUUACUGGAGCUUCUGAGGGAAAGGCUAAUAGAAUGUGGGUGGAAGGAUGAAAUGAAAGCUCUUUGCAGGUAUUAUACUAGUUUUUUUUCUUUUCUUUUUUUCUGUUUUGAGGUCACCACUAUUGCCCAGUUACUUUCUUUACACCUGAACUCCUUGACCCACAUCUGCUUCUA